Molecule: ribosomal RNA, 547 nt
Filed under: uncultured bacterium
Lineage: Bacteria
Description: partial 16S ribosomal RNA
Rfam family: Bacterial small subunit ribosomal RNA
Source: RNAcentral
UGGGGAAUUUUGGACAAUGGGCGAAAGCCUGAUCCAGCAAUGCCGCGUGUGUGAAGAAGGCCUUCGGGUUGUAAAGCACUUUUGUCCGGAAAGAAAUCCUUGGCUCUAAUACAGUCGGGGGAUGACGGUACCGGAAGAAUAAGCACCGGCUAACUACGUGCCAGCAGCCGCGGUAAUACGUAGGGUGCAAGCGUUAAUCGGAAUUACUGGGCGUAAAGCGUGCGCAGGCGGUUUGCUAAGACCGAUGUGAAAUCCCCGGGCUCAACCUGGGAACUGCAUUGGUGACUGGCAGGCUAGAGUAUGGCAGAGGGGGGUAGAAUUCCACGUGUAGCAGUGAAAAUGCGUAGAGAUGUGGAGGAAUACCGAUGGCGAAGGCAGCCCCCUGGCCAAUACUGACGCUCAUGCACGAAAAGCGUGGGGAGCAAAACAGGAUUAGAUACCCUGGUAGUCCCACGCCCUAAAACGAUGUCAAACUAGUUGUUGGGGAUUCAUUUCCUUAGUAACGUAGCUAAACGCGUGAAGUUGACCGCCUGGGGAGUACGGUCGC